RNAcentral lists this ribosomal RNA (686 nucleotides) under Arthrobacter sp. RNAcentral describes it as "bacterial SSU rRNA". It matches the Rfam family "Bacterial small subunit ribosomal RNA", at positions 300 to 1008 of the family's 1533-position model. Lineage: Bacteria; Bacillati; Actinomycetota; Actinomycetes; Micrococcales; Micrococcaceae. The record is from RNAcentral.
UCGACAGCCCAGGCAGCACUACUCCUACCCGGAGGCAGCAGUGGGGAAUAUUGCACAAUGGGCGGAAGCCUGAUGCAGCGACGCCGCGUGAGGGAUGACGGCCUUCGGGUUGUAAACCUCUUUCAGUAGGGAAGAAGCGAAAGUGACGGUACCUGCAGAAGAAGCGCCGGCUAACUACGUGCCAGCAGCCGCGGUAAUACGUAGGGCGCAAGCGUUAUCCGGAAUUAUUGGGCGUAAAGAGCUCGUAGGCGGUUUGUCGCGUCUGCCGUGAAAGUCCGGGGCUCAACUCCGGAUCUGCGGUGGGUACGGGCAGACUAGAGUGAUGUAGGGGAGACUGGAAUUCCUGGUGUAGCGGUGAAAUGCGCAGAUAUCAGGAGGAACACCGAUGGCGAAGGCAGGUCUCUGGGCAUUAACUGACGCUGAGGAGCGAAAGCAUGGGGAGCGAACAGGAUUAGAUACCCUGGUAGUCCAUGCCGUAAACGUUGGGCACUAGGUGUGGGGGACAUUCCACGUUUUCCGCGCCGUAGCUAACGCAUUAAGUGCCCCGCCUGGGGAGUACGGCCGCAAGGCUAAAACUCAAAGGAAUUGACGGGGGCCCGCACAAGCGGCGGAGCAUGCGGAUUAAUUCGAUGCAACGCGAAGAACCUUACCAAGGCUUGACAUGAACCGGUAAGACGCUGAAAACA